Molecule: non-coding RNA, 1308 nt
Organism: Paramisgurnus dabryanus
Lineage: Eukaryota; Metazoa; Chordata; Actinopteri; Cypriniformes; Cobitidae
Source: RefSeq, a predicted model, not a curated record
AAAGAAAGGCGAUACUCUUUGUUGUGGACCUGCUGGAGUGAACAGGAAAGCCCUAUGGGUAAGAAGGAACUUUGUUCUAACCAAUACUGAAGGAGUAAAGCAGGAAGAGAUAUUGACCGUCUGGUACAACGUAAAUAAAGGCUAUCCGCCGUGAGUAUACCCUUUCUGUGUGGAGUAACUGGCAAAAAUUAACUUGUGUAGCCAUUGGAAACCUCCAGGAAAAGGAGGGCGGCCCUACCCCUACAAGAGUGUGGUGGGCGAGCCGUUAGAAGUAUACAUUCAAACAGCCGCCGCAACGAGACUUAUUGUGGUCGUAUUUCCCAUCGCCUUAUCGUAGCCCAAGCGCAGUGGAGGACACCGGGCGCUUCCCUUGUUGUGGUGCACUUAUAGUGUGGUGAGUGAGACUGUGUAAUAAAUCUUUUCACGUUGGAGUGGUGCUGUGUAUUUGCUGUGGGUUGCUGUGUGUCUUGUAGACGAAGCCCCGCAUCAUCCAUUUUCUUCCACUGGGCAGAGGACGGGGAGGCCAACGACCUCAGAAACUACUGUUACUAUUUGUAGUGUGCUGUUUGGAGUACGAAGGGACGCAGACUAAGAGCUGUCCGUGACCGUGAGUAAACCAUUGGAAACAUUCGUGGUGUGAACUUACCUGUGUCUGUUUUGUCGCAGAGUCAGAGGCGAAAGGGUCCGCCGCCCCGUGGUCUCUACGAAAAGGGCGCCCCCGUCUAGGAAUCGAUCGGCCUAUGGGCAUUGGAGAUAGGGCAGCGCUCGACCCGGUGAGGUGGUGUGUGACCUUCGCCCCUCUGCUGACCUACGGAGGAGAACGAUACCUACCCAGAAAGCUGUAAACAGCAGAGCCGGUGAGAAAUACUCGAAGCCUCAGUAACAGUGUCUUUGUGUUCUAGCGGCCACCUGUGGAGAGAGAGCAGAACGAGAGUGAAUCAUUGAAGAGCAAACUGUGAACGUGAUACCUACCCAGAAAGCUGUAAGCAGCAGAGCCGGUGAGAAUUACUCGAAGUCUCAGCAACAGUGCCUUUGUGUUCUAGCGGCCACCUGUGGAGAGAGAGCAGAACGAGAGUGAAUAAUAGAAGAACAAACUGUGAACGUGAUACCUACCCAGAAAGCUGUAAACAGCAGAGCCGUGGCCUCCUGUGGAGAGAACGGAAAACGAGAAGGAACAUGAGGAGAAUGGACUGUGUGAAGAUACAGUGGUGGUGGAGGAGGGCCUAGAGUGGCCAUUGUUUUAAGUCCCCGUUUCCCCUUCCCUAUUUAAUAUUUUUAAGUAAUUUAAUAAAGGAUAUUUUAAUUUUA